RNAcentral lists this long non-coding RNA (31906 nucleotides) under Musa acuminata (dwarf banana). RNAcentral describes it as "long non-coding RNA (MACU_LNC004908)". The record is from RNAcentral. Lineage: Eukaryota; Viridiplantae; Streptophyta; Magnoliopsida; Zingiberales; Musaceae.
GGUGUACCAAGCUGGAUAAGGAGCCAAAGGAACCAGAUAUUGAUCCCAUCGACCUCCAAUUCUAUAACGAAGAUUAAGAGCCGAUGUUAGAGUGGGUCAAAGCGACAAAGAACCAAGAGGAUCCUCCUUGAUAAAGUAGGAGAUCCUCAACGUCCUACGCGUUUUCUCACCGAGACAAUAGAAGAAGAGGAAGCAUAACCCCAACAAGUGGAAAAUCCCCCUCGGUCACAACAUGGUAGGAGUCAAACAACAUCGGGUCAGACUGCUCGAGGAACUAUAGAUACCCAACUGUCACUGUCGUCCGCCCAACGUGCAAAGGCAAAGGCAAAGGCAGAGGCAAAGGGGAAGGCAGUAGCAUCAGCCGCAUCGUUGGAAAAAAUCAAGUUGAGCAACGAGACACUUUCGCAAUUGCAUUCAGCAACUCGCUCGGUCCAGAGACAUGACAGCAACACGGACAACAGUGCCUCGACGGAUGAUGGUGGCGACGUCGGGCAGUCGUUGGUCUCAUCUACACAACUUGAGGGUGGUGCAUGGACCAAGGAGCAAUAUUUUACACAUGCUACCCAAGAUUCAGAUCAUGGAACUCGACAAGGUCAAAUCUAUGUGCGAAAGGGGAAGAGGAAGCCAGUAGAUGAAUUUGAACGGAUGCGACAAAACCUACACGAUGUAGACACAGAACGAAACUCAUCAUAUUCACAACUGUUGUAUUAUGGAAAAUCUUACGGCCAACAGCAAUACGAUGAUAGUUGGUCAUACUUCUCCGUGCAACAGUAUGAUACGGAGCAACAAAUCAGUGGCGAAAGUAGAAGCUCUAACAUUCACCGAUACAUGCCUCAAGAGCCGCCUUGAACACAUGAUUCAUAACGAUCAACCUACAAUCAUCACCACAUUGAUGCAUCAAUGACAUAUGAUGUAUCAAUACACUAUGUCAUGAGAUCAAUUUCAAGAUUAAGUCCAACAAACAUAUCAUAUUGAUAUACAAAUACAUAGGAUCGAGGACCCCGAUCCACCACCCGUGAAGGCCUGUCGUUUAUUUCGGUGGUAGAAUCAACAAUCAAGUAUAUCUACAUAUAUAAUUAUUUAAUUAUUUGAAUCUUAAAGUUUAUAUUGUAAUAAAAUAAUCUAACAAUUCAAAUGAUUUUUCUGUAGAUAUUUUAAUAUUUAUAGAAGGACAAUCUGUAACGGAUCGAAAUACGAACCUUGUACAAGGCUAUUCCUCAAAACCCAAAAAAGAUAUGUGAUACUAUUCUUACCUAAUUUACAUUGAUUUUGCUAAACUUAUACUAAAUGUAUAUUUAUUUCUAACUUAAAAACUCUAUCCAAACUUUUUUUUAUUUUUUAGGUAUUUUUCGAGUAUUUUACACCUAAAUUAGGCGUACCGCUCAGUACGUCGUACCGUCCCAUACCGAGCAAAGCUCGAUACACCAGUACAGUACGAAAUUUUAAUCCUUGCUUUCAUUAGUGUAUUUUCCACGAUCUAGUUCUACUUUCCAUGAUGUGACAUUAUUUAUUUUUAUCACCAUGUAACGCUUCAAGGAACACUUCCGAGAUGUUGACAUAAAGGCACUUAGGCUUCAAAGAAGAGCUGAUAGAUAAGAAUUUGCAUAACAAUUAUAGCUAUAACCAAAUCUUACACCCAUUUAUAUCUUGUUACAAUAAUGCUAUUUAUGAGAACCAGCAGACAUAAUAAUCCUCUGAUUUUGAUCACCCCCAGAGGCUUUGCCAAUGAUGUUCACCAUAGAAAGCAUAUAUGAGUGAUUUAAUGGCAGUUAUGCACACUAUGCAAUGAUUUACAAAACAAAAUUUGAACAAAAGAUUUCCACAGUGCUUCGAAGAUGAAACUUUGUUAUGCUAAAUAUUUCCAUGAUCUGUAUCAAUGUUGCAAAAGCGAUAAGGACAAUACUGUAAAUAAUUUUUAUUUUGCUUUGACUGUUCCAUUUGGUUGCUCGAGAAGACCAUUUCAGGUUCAAGAAAUUUGAUGCUAGCAUUAGAAACAAUUUCAAGAACAAGAAACAAAAGCUUACAGUCUUACACCAAUUUAUAUCUUGUUACUGUAAUGCACUUUAUGAGAACCAGUAGACAUAUUAAUCCUUUUCUUUUGUUUUCCUCCAGAAGUUUCGCCAAUGACUUUCACCAUAGAAAGUAUAUAUGUCAGCGGUUUAAUGACAGUCGGGCAUAUUAUGCAAUGGAUUAUACAACUAAAUUUGACUGAAAAAAGAUUUCCACAGUGCUUCAAAGAUGAAACAUCAUUACCUUAAAUAUGUUCAUAAUGUGUAUCGACGUUGCAAAUGUGGAUAAGGACGAUACUGUAAAUAAUAUUUGUUAUGCUUUGACUGUUCCGUUUGGUUGCUCAAGAGAACCAUUUCAGAGUCGACAGAAUUUAACGCUAGCAUUACAGAUUAUUUCAAGAACAAGAAACCAAGCAAAACAAAUCCAAUAGAACAAAAUACCGAUCGCGAGGAGGGUAGGCUUCUUGAGAGGCCGGUCCUCGGGCACGGGCUUGGGCCGCUGCUGUAUGUGGAGGUAGACGGGGUUCCCGCUCUUCUCAUAGUUCCACCCCACGCCCUCCUUCCCGAACGCAAUAAACGAGCUGAGAUCCACGUACAGCCCCCCUUCCGACCUCUGGCCGGCGCAACACGGAACAAGAUCAGUCCAUCGGAAAACGAAUCAAAGAAUAGCGGCGAGAAGAGAUCAGAAGGGAGGCUACCGGGGUGUCGAACGAGAUGCAGCACUCCGUCUUGUAGAUGCGGUUGGUGGGCUCCGGGAUCCGAACCCUGGAGAGGUGCGAGCGGAGGAGCUCCAUCGGCGACGACAAGCGGUUUGAGGAAGAGAUAAAGGAGGACGAGGAGAUCGAAGAGAGGGCGGUGCUAGGGUUUUCGUCGCUGUUAUCGCGGGGAAGAGGGAAAGAGACGGAGGGAGAGAGAGGAGGAGGGGGGAUUCUUUUCUUGCGCCGAUAUCCUUUCGGCGCGCCUAAAGCUUGACGUCUUUUGAAGUCAUUUCCGAAACGAUUCCUCGAGGUUUAUCGGGAAACGGAAACGGCUACGGAGCCGUUUCCGUCGGAGAAACAGAGCGCGUUCAUUGAGCUGAAACAGAGAUCCAAGAACAAUGGCAUUCAAGAUCAACCCAUCUGAAAGAAAUUUACUAGUUCUAUACACAUCAAACACCAACACAAUUCUACAUCAUCUUUAGCCUUCAGAACUGAUCAAAGACGUGGUCUCUAUCAGAGAAGUCGAGAGUGCCUUCGUGGAACCCUGGCCUGAAGAGGAGUCUGAGGAGAAGCAUUUGGUGUUACUGUCAUCCAAGAGAGCUUGGAGUUUCCUUGGCGUCGGAGGCUUGUCAACGUCAAGAGCACCCUCCAGAAUCUGAACAACCUGCGCCAUCGAUGGCCUGUGGGCUUCAUCGUCCUGAAUGCACCAGCACGCAACUCUACAUGCUCUCUCAAGCUCUGUUAUGUCGGCGUUUCCAUGCAGCCGCGGAUCCAACAGGCUAAGAAUGUCACCUUCCACCAACUUCGUCGCAGCCAACACGGGGAAGAAGGGAUCGUCUUCCCGGGAUUGCUCCGUGUUUCUUCUCCCAGAAAUGAGUUCCAAGAGUGUCAUCCCGUAACUGUAGGCGUCGGCUUUGGGGGUGAUGGCCUCGCCGGAGAUCCAUUCUGGAGCGAGGUAGCCCACGGUUCCUCUCAUCGUGGUCAAGACCUUGCUGAAGUCUCGGCCUACGAGCUUUGCCAGGCCGAAGUCGGCCAGCUUCGGGUGAAAGGAUUCGUCCAAGAGUAUGUUCUCCGGCUUCACGUCGCAGUGUAUGAUGCAGUCCCUGCAUUGCUCGUGCAGAUAAGCUAAUCCUCGAGCUGUUCCGAUGGCGAUGUUAUACCUUGUCAACCAGGCCAUAGCCGGGGAACCUUUACUAAACAGAUGCGUGUUUAGAGAACCAUUCGUCAUGUAAUCGUAAACCAGCAACCUCUUGUUGGCUUCGGAGCAGAAUCCACGAAGACGAACCAGGUUAACAUGUUGAAUCAUUCCCAGAGUGCUCACUUCGUUGCGGAAUUGCUUCUCCCCUUGAUGUACAAGGCUUCUGAGCUUUUUUACAGCGAUGAGAGUGGAGUCAGGCAGAGUCCCUUUGAACACUGAACCGAAACCUCCUCCGCCCAACCGCUCCGAGAAGUUCCUGGUCAUCCGCUGCAAGUCACCAUACCUGAAGACCACCAGAUUACCCUCCGUUGCUUCGUCAGUACCAAGUUCUCUUUUCCCAAGUUGUCUCAAGAACAGCACCAGGGCAGAAGCCAAGAGAGCGAGAGCAACGGCAGCACCAACCACCACGAGCUUGAGGGUCCUUCUUGUCUCUCUCCCGGGCAUCGGCAGCUCCGAAGCAGCUAAACGUACAUACACUGUUUCUCGCCUGGAUCCAUCAGACAGCUCCUGGAGAUUCAGCAGAUCACCAUACCAGGCAGAACAUCCGCCAUCGUAGGAAUAAGCAGUGCACGAACAAUUCUGCAAGCACAACAAUUCGCACUCCUCGACACUGGCAGCUGCUAGCGAACGGGGAUCAUCCGGCAGUUGGGUACCAGAGAUGGCAAAGAACCUGUCAUCUUUGCCGCACUGCAACGGGGUGUUCCUCGCGCAUCCCUGGCGUCGAUCGCCCAAUUGCCAGUCCACGGGGGACUUCUCGCUGAAACCUUUGAUGCAGCUGCAGAAUGGUAAGCCGUUCUCGUUGCAGCUGCCGAAAGGCCCGCAGAGAGCGUAGACAUCGCACUGUUUCUUGGGCAGAGCCAGGAACCUAAUCCACUCCUGGGCUUCUUCCACCCAAGCAAGUUGAGUGAGCUGCCCCGAGAUGUCUAAUAUGGUUCUGGUGAUCAUGUCGCCCCUGAGUUCAUACACGAAGUAGUUGGUCGUGGAGUUGGAGAAGAACUCGACAGAGACGUUGACCACCGUCGGAUCCUGACGGUAGGCCGUCAUCUCCGGGACCGAGCUAAAGAAAUGCCCAUUCCAAGGCCCUGUACUCCAGUACUGCUUAGACCUGUUCCACAGUAGAAUGAAUUGGGUUAGACCGGUAGGAUCCAACUCCACGGAGAAGAUGCCAGCAGCAGGAUCAUCGGAGUUCCGCCAUGAAGUGAGGACUGGACCUUUUCCGGUCACUUUGUUCAUCACAAACUUUACCCCGGGGAGCCAUGUAUCAGUUGGGUGAUCAAAGCUCUGCCAAAGGAGCUUGGAUGGGUCAGACCAGUCUCUGAGGAUAAGGUUUCCCGAGUCGAGGAUCUCAGCGACCGUGGCGUUGGAGGCCGUGGACGUGAGGUUGGUGGACCAAACUUGUGCAUCAGACUGGCCGAGGAGUACCAAGUUGCCGUCAUCGGAGAUCUUGAGCUGAGAUGUGGCUGGGUCGAAUACGGGAUUGUUUCUAUUUGCUACCCAGAUCGGAGUAAGCUUCGAGACCUUCUUGAAUAAGAUGCCUAUGUAGUGGCGGCUGGGACUCUGUUCACCUACUUGGAAGAAGCCGAGCACAAAGUUGCCACCCGGGGAGGUGAUGGUCUGGUUUCCGGAGAGACUGUGGUUGGAGGAGAUGUAAUCGACUGCAAACGCGAGGGUGGCAUUUACACAGACGAAGAAGAGGAGGAAGAAGAGGGUCGGGGAGUGAGAAAACAUGGAGAGAUGUCUCCGCGAAGCCAUGAUGAGCCGACUCACGAGAUAGAUAGAUAGAUAAAUAGUAUGGAGAACAGACGAUAGAUGAUGGGACAUCUGAUGGGACAUGAAAUGAGAGUCUGGGGACGAGGGCAAGAGAGAGAAAGAGGAGAGACAUUGGCAAGUGUCAUGUGAGACAGGCUUCCUUUCUCUCAACCACAAACGGGUAAAAAGCCAUGACAGCCUAAAGAAGAGACAAGAAUUGCCAUGCAGUAACACUGAGAGCGAAGCUGCCUUCGUCUUCCUCCGUGAGGCUUUCUGGCGUACGCGGGGAAGACUUCCUGCGACUCCAGAAAGGAGUAGUCCACUGCAAAAUAUGCUCUUUGGAGACUUUCGCCCUUUGCGCUGUACCGAUUCGAUNNNNNNNNNNNNNNNNNNNNAUAUAUAUAUAUAUAUAUAUAUAUAUAUAUAUAUAUAUAUAUAUAUAUAUAUAUAUAUAUAUAUAUAUAUAUAUAGGUUUACGAUGUUUUUAUAGAUGCAUCAAAAAUACUAUAAAUAUAUUCAAUAAUAGUAUAACUGAUAUGUUUUCUUUAAAUAAUUUUAUUCUCAAAUUAAUAAAAAUAUAUAUUCAAAAAAUCACAAACGGUUAUUAGUUGUAUUUUUUAUCAAUAUUUUUUAGGUAUAGUGUUAUAUAUAUGAUUAAAAAAUAUAUUUGACAUAAAAAUUAAGUUUUUUUAACAUAUUGUUUAUCUCAAAGCAAUAAAAAUAGCAUGCUUUCCUCGAAAAAAUCUCUUUUUUUUUCCUUUGCUAUUCUCAAUUUUAUUUUUUUUAUUUAAUUUUUUUUCCUUAAUGUCUCUCGUCACAAGGCUUGUCAUCUUUGUCUCACCUUUUUUUUUUUUCUUCUCUCAUCUAAUAAAAAAAAACCAAAGAUGAAGAGUCUCACGGAUGUGGAGAGACAACAAGAGAUUCAAGAUAUUAGAGGAAAAAAUAACACCAAAUUAAAAAAAUAAAAUAAUGCUACUUCAAAUAGAUGUUUUUAUUUUUUAUGAUCAAUAACAUGUAAAAAAAAUUAUUUUUAUAUGUCAAUUAUAUUAUUUUUAUCCUAUAUAUAUAUAUAUAUAUAUAAACACUAUAACUAAAAAUACAAAUUGAUGCAUGCAUUCAGGCCACCGGUGAUAUCCAAAUAGAUGCACAUUAAUUCACCGUAGUGGUUGGAUUGCAUUAAAAGCUACACACAACGGUCUCACCAACUUACGCAUGUGUCAGGUAAUGAACAUAAAUUGCUUUUGAGUUAAUAUCGUGUGCACUUAUGUUUCAUCAUCAACUCAUAUUUAUAUUAUCAUUUAUUGUCCAUCUCCCACGUAGACCAGACAUUAUAGAUGAUAAUUACACUCCGAAUACACAUUGCACUACCCCGAUCUGAUCUAAUUAUAUCAUAUUUAAUCUGUUUUAAUGAAAAAAUAAAUGAAGACGGUAUCUCUUGCCCUUCCUCACUUUAUACUUCAGAUUCUCCGACACAUUAGAGAUUCAUUCGAUCUAGAUGUAAGUGUGAUGUAGAAACUAAGUCAUCUUAUGCUUAAAUUGAUUAAAUCAAAAUAUUCGAGAAAUACAAUAUAUAAGUGAGUAUUGUUCAUGAUUAAAUGACACAUCUCGAUGACUUUUUACAGUAAGAUUGUGUAAUUAUCAAAUUAAAAUAAUAAUUUAAUUAAUGAAAUGAUUAAUUAUUUGGUGAUAUAGAAAAUAUCAUCAUCCAACACACGACCUCCGUAUUCAGAUUAAAAGGAGAAUACGAAAGUCAACAUACAUAUGUUUAUCCACGUGAACAAUGGUAUAAGGCAGACGGUCAUAGACUCUUCUCCCUUAUUGCCUAUAAGGAUAAAAAGUCAAGAGGAGAUAGUUAGAGACUAUAUUAUUAUAAAAUAUUCUAUAAAAUAUUCAAUCCUUUUAUGACCAUAUAUAAAAGCUCGUAUUUAACACAAUGAAAUGAGAAUCAUCUUUUGACCACUCGCAUCUAUAUUUAUAUACUUAUAUUAAUAAUUUGGAUGUUAAAAGAAUUGAGUAGAAAAAUCUAUUUGAACCUCGAUCUUCGUACAUGUAACACCUUAAUAACUUAACGUUUUCAUAUCGAAUGUACCUCGUGAAUAGCCCUAUACACAUAAAUCCGAAUCAUAUUAAACUGAUUAAGACAUGAAUUAUUGGUAGGUUGCUCACAUGUCACUCUCGUUAUCGGUGCUAAACCCACCCACCCGUCCAUCCAUCCUAUAAAAAAUAAUCCAAAAAUAUAAUAAAAUAAAAUCGAGAAAAAAGAAUGACUACAAACCGUACCUCCAUUUGGACGACGGCGAUGAAAUCGUGGAUGCCUUCCGUGCGCCGAUCUAACAAUGACGACCGUCCGAUGACCUGAUCGGAUCGGCAGGCGGGAAGGCGCCGUCUCGGGUUAAAUAGCGACGGGGAGGAAGUGGGUUUACAUGGAUUCACUUCACCGGAGAAGGACACCGGACAUCGAUUUAAGGUUGCAUGGAAACGACAGUGCAAUAAAGUUAGGUCAUAAUAAGUAUGGGGCACGUUGUGUACAUCCAUCUGCUUGCAUUAACCAUCCAUUUACUCCUCUCCGAUUGUUGAUGAUGUGAUGCAUCUCAUUUUGUUGUAGUGGCCUUAUCAUAUCGCAUGAGGUUUGGUGGAUGAAUUGUUUUGUUUUCUUUGGCUUUUUUGAUAUUUAGGGUUAACGGUAAAUUUAUAAUUUUAAUAUCAAAAAUAUUGAUUGGUAAAAAAAUUUAGUUUUUGUAAAAUAACUCUAUGUGAUCAUUAUAAUAUUAUUAAAAUAUAUUUUUAUCAUUUAUCCUUUUGAAAUUUUAUAAGGGAGCCCCGACUUUCAAUAAAUGGUUGAAAUGGUUGAUUCUUCUUCUUCAUUGGCAUCAAUUUUCUUUUUCUCUACUAUCAAGUCCAUGGAUGAUAAUUGACUGAUUGGAGCUGCUCUAAGUCUUGCCCCUUAAGGUAUGCUUCACUUCUCGAGACAUUUUCUACUGAUCCAACAGAUGGGCUUCUAACUUUAAGUUACUUUUAUGUAGGGAUAAAUCUUGGGGAGUUGAGUAUUUGGUUGUUCAACCCCGAUAAGAAAGCAAUGGCCAUGAGUUUAGAGUGCCACAUAGUGCACUUUGGAUCCUCCACUAAUUGGCCUCAAAUUUGGGAGCUGUCCACCAUGGACGACAUGACUUGAUACACUCGAUGGUCGAGGAUCUCGGGACCCCUUCGAUCGAAGCAUCAGCUAGCCAAGGUGGUUCUACGACAACUUGGGUCUACGACGAGUGAGGUGGCUUGUUAGGCUUUUGAAACACCACUGGCUGCUGAGGAAGAACAAUAGGCGCUAACUAAGCUAGAUAUGAGAGUAGAGAAACGACUGACUACAUCAUCCCGAUAAGAGUAUAGGCUUGCUAGGCAAGGGUUAGGAAGACAUCUAUUGGAAUCAGCUUGUGGAUUGUCAUCAUUAUUAGAGUGGAGAGACUCGAGUCAUUAAAUAACCGUUAAUAUUAUAUGGGAGUUUAGAUAGAAGUUGAGGUGUCGAGCAUCAAGAACAUUGACUAUUGGCCUCCUUGGGUGAAAGUGUUAUAGGUCGAAAGUUGUACACCAUUGAUCGAAUGCUCAUUGAAUAGAUCGAUAGUGUGGUGCUCUUAUGACAUAGAGUCCUCUGCUAAAAUGAUAAUUGAAAGAUCAAUGAUACAUUUGUCAGUUUGAUUCGGUUUUGAAUCACAUGUGCAGCUUGACCCAGGUGAAAUAUUUCAUUCUGAAUUUAUCAUUGUUAUUGGGCUAAAGUGACGAUCAUGUCAUCCGGACAAUCAUAUUGCGAGCUACAACUACAUGAUGAGUUCUCCCCUUUAAAGAGUUAAUCGUGAAUUUAAUUAUUAUAAUAUCAAAUAUGCUAACUAAUAAAAAUAUCCAAUUUAGUAGUAAAUUAUUUGAUAAAUGAUAGGUCUUAACUCUGCAUCAUAUUAACGUAAGAAAAAAAAAAUUAAUUGUUUAAAAACUUUAUGUGAUCAUCAUAACAUUACUAAAACUCGUCUCAAUCAUUUACUUAAAAAAAUUUCAAUCAUUUUUAAUCACUCGAAUCUAUAUUAUUUAAAAGGAUUUGAAACUUGAGAUUUUAUUAACUAUACUUAUGGUUAAAUGAGACUAGAUUAUGAGAUAUAUUGAUCAUUCUAUGGUUAAAUGAGACUAGAUUAUGAGAUAUAUUGAUCAUUCGUUACUAUACUUAUUAUCAUUCUAUGGUUAAAUGAGACUAGAUUAUGAGAUAUAUUGAUCCACUUAAACCUGAUUUAAAGUACCUAAUUCAAUGAAAGGUUUGAAUAGUAAAAUAGAUAUCCAAAUUAUAGCUUAUAUGCAUAAAAAAAACAUUAAUGAAAUUAUCAUAUUUAGCUGCUCAUUUACUUUAAUUUGGGCAUAAAUAGAGUUGUGAUGAUACAAUCUCGAGUAGAAACAUAUGAUAUCUUAGUAAAUUAACAACAAAUGAACUGUCACCCUCGUUUAUGAUAAAAAUCGAGGACAUGCUUAACAUACUAAAAGGAGAUGAAAAAUAAUAUUUUUUUAAAAUAUAUUUAAUUAAAUUUAAAUUUGAUAAAUAUAUCAAUCAAUUAAAACGUAGGAUAAUCUUGCCACUCACCUAAAGUGAAUAAUUAUUAUCGAGCCCACCCAAAUCAUAUAAUUCCUCUCGAACCCUCGUGCUUGGAUUCGAUGAACGAUAACUUAUAAAGAAUAUUUAAAUAUUUAUUAAAUUAUUUUUUAAGUGUCAUUCUAUCUCCUUAGAUGACUGUGCUAACAUUUUAUGAUGUUAUAAUUAAUAAUUAUCAACAUAAUAAUUGUGGAAAGAAAUCAAAAUUUUCCAUUGAACCCACUUGGCAGCCCAAUGGGCCCAAAACCCUAAACCCCUUCCCUCAAAAAAGAAUCUCUUUCCCCCCACAUAAAACACCGAACCGAAACCUUAUCUUCCCCACUGUUCGCCCAAUGAGCUCAUCGCUUCUGAUGGCGACGAUGAGCUCCCCCUCUUCCUCUCUCAUCCGCCUCAGAGCCCUACCAUCCGCGCCUUCACCAACCUCUAACCUUCUGCUCCCCGCCUCGAUGCUCCCUCGCCCCGCCUUCUCCUCCCGCCGCCGGGUCGUCUCCCGGUCACGUGGCAUCGGAGGCGCCCCUGUGGCGAUCCGCGCAAUGGCCGUCGACUCCGAUUACUCGUCGAGGAGGGGCGGCAGCAGCGAGCCGAGGGAGACGAUCAUGCUCCCCGGCUGCGAUUACAACCACUGGCUCAUCGUGAUGGAGUUCCCGAAGGAUCCGGCGCCCACGCGGGAGCAGAUGAUCGAGACCUAUCUCAACACUCUCGCCACCGUCCUGGGAAGGUAGAUUCCUUUGUUUAUCUUGUUAUCUUUGUGCAUUACAUGAUUGUUUUUGUCUAUCUUAAUGCUAAUUAUUCGGAGACGGAUUGACUUGUUUACUGAUUAUUUGGUGUCGUCGUCCUUUUCUUUAGGGUUUACAUUGCUCAAUUAAGGGCAACCGAGUGAAAUUAGCAGAUAUAGACGUUGAAAUAGUUGAUUUCUCUGAAUUAGACCGUGUUAGAUUGUAGAGAAAGCUAAAGAUUUUGCUACUCGAAGGAUAUGUUUGGUCAUGAAAUGUUAAGAAAAUAUUCAGAUAGUUGGGCUAAUUGCAUGAACUUGUGCAAACAUUGAGAUAGUUACACAAUUCCAAAUCUGAUAAUUUAGUCGUGUAAUAAGUUGCUCAGAGACUCAAUCCCUUCAAAGGUGCAUCCUUUUCUAAACUGGUAUGUGGUGCAACAAAAGUUGGUUAUCCUGUUACUUUGAGCGACAUAUAACUAUGAUUAAUGACCUGUUUGAUCCUGCCACAUCGGAUGUUUUGGAGUUUACACAUCAAAUAAUUGAGGUAUGAUUCUUUUAAAGCAAUUGAAAGAUGAAUAACUGAUAUGCGUUCUUAUCAUUUUGUGAGAUUCUUUUUUGGAUGUCGUUUGUAAUUAGUAUCAUAUCAUCCCAUUUCUUUAUCACUAUCCAUAACAUUCUACUCCAUGCUGCACUUCUGUGAAAAAUUAUGUGCAUGAAAUUGUUCUAGAUUCAUUGCAUGAAAACUUGUGAUGCCUAUGGACUGCUUUCUAAUUUGGACCUGAUAAAUGCUGUAUGAUACCUUCAGAAAUUCCCACUCGGUCAACAUGUCAAUCGAAUUGACUGUGUUAGUAGAAGAUGGAUGAUGAAAUUUUACUAGGGAAGUAAAGUAUCCCAUUUGAACUUUUAAGUCUGUUCCAAAUGCCAUGUGGAACAGGCAAAAAAAUAAAACAACGACAACAUAUAUCAACAUUCUGUUCCUCUUUCGACAAUGGAUGCAACAUCUGCGUUGCUAUGCCUACUCAUCAUUAAUACUAUGCUGCUUUCACAUACAUUGAAUAGUUAAUGAUUAGCAUAUCUCAUUCAGUCCAUCAUUUUUUGAUGCAUUUGGUUUUAUAAUGAGACAUUAUAAAAAAAAUUCAAAGCCUCUACAUUGGAACAUCAAACCCUCACAGUUGAUCUAUUGAUGAAAGCUGAUCUUAGUUUCUGCCUGUUUGGCACAAAUGAUAGUGACAAAAGUUAUGUUUGCACUAGGAUGUACUUUGCAAACUGACUCAAAGAGUAUUUGUCAUUUAAUUAGAAAAUAUAUAUUAUUCAAUCAGAACAAGUUGUUUACAUUGAAACGAGAACAUAGGCUUUUAUAGUUUGAUGUGAUGAACGAUCCCUGCUUAUCAAAACAUGGAUGAUUAAGAUAGAUUAUUUGAGAGGCUUUUAGAUGCACCAUAAGUGUGUGAUAUUCAUGGUGCUCUUAGGAACAAAAAUUACAAACAAAAUGGGACUUGAGGUUGUACUGAAUAGUUUUUUAUGUGAAUACCUUGAAUUUUUAUUUCUGAAUCACAAAUGUUCUCUUGAUGGUGUUCUUUUUAAUGUUAGAAUCCAUGUUGUUGUAAGUAGCAUUAAUAUAAAGCAAAUUGUUGACAUAAAUGGUAUUGCCUGAAAUUAUAUAUGUACAAGCUUGGUAAAUUUAUUAUUGUUUAUUUCAAUUCUUCACUCUCUCAUGUAUCUCUUGCAGCAUGGAAGAAGCCAAGAAGAACAUGUAUGCUUUCAGCACAACCACAUAUACUGGAUUCCAGUGCACUGUAUCUGAAGAAACAUCAGAAAAAUUUAAAGGUACUCUUACAUUUGCGAUAAUAUCAAAUCCUUGGUUGUUUAUUCUUAAAUUGUUUGCACAAUUUUUUGUUGCAUUCAGGUUUACCAGGAGUCCUCUGGGUACUGCCCGAUUCAUACAUUGAUGUGAAGAACAAAGAUUAUGGAGGUUAGUUGAAAGCACUUAAAUGUUCAUAUUAUUUUGAUGUUCAAAUUGUUGUCUUUCUUCCUGUCUUCAGGUGAUAGAUACAUAACUGGCGAGAUAAUACCAUGUGCUUAGAUUCAUGAUUACAUUAUUGCCUUCCUUCCCUUUUCAGGUGAUAAAUACAUAAAUGGGGAGAUAAUCCCAUGUACAUAUCCUACUUAUCAACCGAAGCAACGUGGAUCAAAGAACGAAAGCAGAAAAUAUGUGAGGCGGAGGGAUGGCCCUCCACCAGAACGCAGAAGACCGGCUGGAGAAACCCCUCAGGCUGGGUCUGCUUCCGCAUGAGGCAUGAUCUCUGCAUGACCUUCUAUUAUGUCUCAUUCGUAGAAAUCUCAUGUUCAUACCUCUAAUGUCAUCUUUUGUAGGCAUCAAUUGGUGUCGGAUAAAACAGUGACGAUUGGUCAACUAUAUACUUUUAUGCAUGGAGCACGCCAUUUCUUGCUAGGGUAAUCUAAAGGUGUGCAUUGAGCUGUGUGGUUGAUUUAUUUACGUCUCUACUUCGUCAGGUUUAUGUCCAUAUAGCUCUAGUGAUCUGAUCAAGAGUUGUAAGCUACUUUGUAUGAACCGAGACGUGAAGCUGAUGAUCAAACUAGGUCCUAUUUUGGCAUAUCUCUGGUCAUUUGGUAGCAAGCUGAUGUGUUAUUGUAAUAUUCAUAUCAGACUUAUAAAGCUAGGUGAGCCUAUCGUAACUUAAUUUUGUGUGUGUGUGUGUUUUUUUUUUGUUACCAAGGAUAAACAAAGAAAGGAGGAUUGGUGGAUUGGUGGAGGCAGGAUUUGAUCUAAAUGCUGCAGUUGUCUUACAAAGUUUUUACUAGCUAUUAUUUACUAAAUUUGAUCAAAUGAAAUUCUUAUGUGUUGAUAAUAUGUAAGUGAGAAAAUUAUCAAAUCUAUCAUUGUUCUGUGUAUCGACCACUCCAGUCUAUCAUACAAUGGUUUUCAAUGUGUUUUAUUAUAUUUGUGGCAACUAUAUAUAAAUGUUAUCAAAUUGGCCAAGUUUAUCAUACAAAUGAUUCAAAUUCAUAUAUAUAUAUAUAUAUAUAUCAUUUACUUUUUGAUAUUUGGGGUUAAUUUUGAGUUUAUCACGAUCUCAAUCAUCGCACAUGAUUAAUUUUCGAGCAAUUAUAAAUGUAACGCGUAUGGAUGAUAGCCUGUCCCUCUAAUCGUCCCACUCGUUGCUUUCCAGCGUGGGAUUCCGCCCUUUUCAGAUAGGGGCGAGCGUGGUGAGAAGUGGAGGAUGGGCCAUCGCAAUGGGGUUUCCAUGUCGAGAUGUGGCUGUUGGCCGCGUCAGAAACGGUUUUCGCCUUCGAUGGAGCUGCGGCAAAAGCCAUCUCGUCGCAGCGAUCUCGAUUGGACAUGGAAUCGUUCGAUUGGUGGAUCAAGAACAGACGAGGUUAGAUCGCUCGUGCACACGAAUUCUUAGGUAAAUCCAUCAAGAUUCUUUUCUCGUGCUUUCCAAAUCCAUGAAGUUUUACUCUUUUGUUUGACAGCGAACUUUGAACUUUUACGUCUUAAUCAUGUUUGUCGGUGUUUCUCUUAUUAUUUCGCUGCUGAUUUAAGUUCAGCUCUUAGACACAUCGUCGAUUGUAUAUUCCUUAAUUGGUACAGAAGAUACAGUUUACGAAGGGAAGGAAUUGUUACUUCACAAAUGGAUUAUGAUUGACAUUUGGAACUACUAACCUCUUGAAUGACUAUCGAACCGAACUAAGAUAAAUAACUACGAGGGACAGUGAAUCGACUCUACAAAUCAUCCUGCAAUAAGUUUUUCUUUUUGACCGUGUUUUUGUUUUGGUCAAGUGUCGUACUCUUGUUCUAGGAAAUGCUUGAACCACUGGACUGAAUCUUUUGGCAUCCUCGUUAGGUUCUUCUUGUAAUCAACAUAAUAGAGGCCGAAUCGAACUGUGUAGCCUGAGUUCCAUUCCCAAUUAUCUAGUAAUGACCACACGAAGUAGCCAUGCACAUUGCAACCGUCUUCCCUGCAUUGGUUCAUAAAAAAAGGAAGCAGUGGAACUGAAUAUGGUCAUGCCAAUUGAUUUAUUUGAGAUCAGUACAAGAUUAAUGACCACAACAUCAAGUGAACUAGCAUGAAAGAAAAUUACCGUAUCGCAGCUUGCAGGUUUGACAGGUAGUCAGCAUGAUAGCGUAUCCUCUUUUCAUCCUUCAGUGCUAUGUCUAGGUUAGUGAAAUUUGGAUCAUCCAUACCUACAAUACCGAAUGACUUUUUGUAAUAUCUGUCAAAAUAGAGAGCUAAUUCUGGAUUCGAUCAGAUUGGUUUUACCAUUUUCUGUAAUGAUAACUAGCGGGUUCUCGUAGUUCUCCUUGAUAUAGUUCAUUAACUUGCGAAUACCCCAUGGCACAAUGUGAAGCCAUCCCGAAGCAGCCUGAAAGAAGCAUGAAGUGAUAGUACCUAAACCUGAGCAUCGGUUGAAUAGUCAUUAGAAGCAUGAAUGUCGUGACUUACUCUUUCGCCAAUCCUCUCUCCAUGCCGAGUAGCUGUUGAGAACAUGGUAGAAAUUAGUAUGGUCUAUCAGGAAUAAAGUUUUGUUUAUGAUUUUGUCAUACAUGUUGCGAUAACGGCUGCAUCAGAUGAAGCAUCAUUCAGUAUCAGCUUCCUGAUUCUUGUCCGAUCAUUCCGAGCAUAUAAUGAGGUGUAGUGGUUAAUUCCUACAAAAUCUAGUGAACCAGCCAACGACUCAGAGUCGUCACUGGUAAAUCUGGGUAGUCUGUCACCUACUAGUUUCUUCAUGGUUUGAGGAUAAUCUCCAUACAUAAGGGGAUCCAAGAACCUGCUUCAGAUCCAUAUUCAACAAUCAAUCAUCAGUCCAGGUACUAGGUUAUUUUAUAUAUAGCAUGAAAUCGGUAGCAGAUUACCAUCCCAGUUCGAAUUUCAUUGCUCUAUAGGCAGCAUCUGUAUCUUCUUCAGUGCCAGAUAUAGGUUCAUACCAUUUGGAAUCAAGAGCUAUUCCAAUAGCGCCCUUUUGCUUUUCCUACAGAUUAAACUUAGCUUCUUAUCAUGCCAUUUCUGAUACAUUUUAUGGCAGUGGAGAGGUUGCAGCAAUUUAAACCAAUGGUUUACCUUAAAGUGGAGCUUGUAAGUAUGAAAUGCAGCAGCAUGAGAUAAGAGGAUGUUGUGAGCCACGAUAUAUGGUUCAGUUGAUGAUUUGCCUCUCCGACAAAGAAUGUGAGAUAGAAUAGAACACCUUCCUGGAGCUUGCAGACCUGUGUCAUAUCCUUGAAUUGAGAAUCCAUGAGGCUCGUUGAAGGUGAUCCAAUGCUUCACUCGAUCCCCGAAUGCUUUGAAACAAGUAUAAGCAUAAUGCUCGAAAUCUUGUCUGCAUUGUAGAGUGACUUUUAGCUUUCUUUUCUGGAUUUUGCUGACUGAAUAAACAUUCAAUUUAAUCCUUACAUGAUCUCUUGGCUCAACCAUCCAUUGUAUCGGUCCUCUAGAGCCUGUGGAAGAUCCCAGUGAAAGAGUGUAACAUAAGGUUGUAUUCCUGAAACAGAAAAAUAAGGGGGAAAAAGAAGAAAAAGGGAAUGCUCAGCCCUUGAAACUUUCAUUAGGACCCACAAGGAAAGGCUUUUAAAAGGUCACCGUUCUCUUGCAGAGCGUCUAUGAGUCUGUUAUAGUAGCUUAUUCCUUCUUGAUUAGGUUCCCCGGUUCCAUCUGUGAACAGGAAGCUUGUUAUUUUAUUCAGGAAAGAGGUAUAAAUAUUUCUAAUGCCAAUUAGCCAGCUCUGUAUUACUUGGGAAUAUCCGUGGCCAUGAGAUAGAGAACCUGUAGGCAUCCAUUCCUAUGUCCUUCAUCAAAUCCACAUCUGUCUGCAUAAAGAGAGCAGUAUCUUUUGGUACUAUAAAAUAAUAUGUUAAAUAUAUUUCAUGAAGUCCGUCAUCAUUCUUCUGCAUGAAGAAAUUAAACAUGUCUUUUUUGUUGAGAAGACCAUUAGAGCAGAUGGCUCUCCAGUGUAAAAGUUACAACUUCAAGAAGCCUGUAUUUGUGAAUGAGCCGAGUUCAUGGAAGAAGCUCAGAUAAGCUGCAAGUGCAAGAUUAUGUGAUGGGAAAGCACUAUAUGAUUAAGCAUGGUGGUUCACAGUUAAUUCAAUGUCUAGGCAAACUGCAGUUAUAUGGAAAAUUCAUAUCAGUUGAGUGAUUCUGAAUUUGUCUCACAAGAUCCUGCAAAAUGUAUUAGUUUACCGAAGCAGAUCUUUCGCUUGCUGUGUUAAAGGCUGUAAGUUGUAUGAUCUCAAGGGGGAAGAAAAAGGGAACCUCAUUGUUGAGAAAAUAAGGUUAAGCAGAACAGCUGUUGGAUAUCAAGAAGUUUCUGAUUCAAAAUCAUAAAAUUUUCUAACAUAUAUAGGUGAAGUUUCCAAGACAAUUGUAAGCACAACCAAAAAAUAAAAAGAAGGAAAAUUCAGUUUAAAAUGGAAUGCUACUGUUAUCUUCAACCUACAGAGUUUGCUCAUAAGAUAUCAAGUGUACAAGUGAAGACCCACCCUUCAGGUUGUAAGAAAUAUUCUGAGUCUUUCGAGACUAGGAUGUUCUUUUAAGUGAAAAUAUCUGUAGAUUGAGUUAGUAAAUGAAAAUUAUAGAUCGUCUUUCCUCACAAAUAUGAUGGACAAAAUUUGAUCAUGCAAGUUCCUUGUUUAAGCAAGUAUUCAGUUCUUUGCUCUUGUACCUUUUCUUUCUCAUGUUUUUCAUCAGUGGUCUUGUUGUUUAAACUGAACUUUCUACAUUUUUUAUGAAGUAGAAGAGAGAAAAUAUGUGCUGAACUUUGUCUUGAAAAGAGGAUAAGAUUCGAACCUCAACUAACAAUAGGUGACAGUAGUAUAGGUUGUCAUUUAGCUAGAGUUCUCCCACAUCAUUAUCAUUGACUAAAUAAUAUGUUCUCUCAACAUGUCAGAGUACCUUCACCUCUUUAGGUGAAGUAGGCCAUGGAGAAAAAGUAUCUUGUAAGUUAGCACAUUGCUGCUCCGGUGAUAGAAAAAAUAUUUUAUAGAACAAUUAUGAUUUCUCCCUUUUCAUUGUAAGGCAGCUUUUGCAAGUAUCUUGCAUCUUGCACCUACUGUCAUAAGCACUUGCUGGUGCUUUGAGUAAUCUAUCAGAAUAAACAAAGCUUUUCUUAAAUUUUCCGAUGCUUCCUUGGGGCCUUUAUUUUAUUUGUAGUCUCUUAUCCAUAAUUUGAAGAUCUUUCAGUUCUAGGAGUUGCUUUCGGACUGUCAACUUUAUUUCAUGCAAAAACUCGAAGUUUCAGAUCCAAUGUAAAAUUAAGCUGGAGUCAGAUUUCAUCAGGAUAAUCUCAUUGGAUUCAAGUUUCAUCAGGGAAAUCUAAACACACUAAACAUCCGCAGAUGACUACUCAAUAUGAACAGAAUAUUAUUCCAGAGUUCACCUUGUACCGAUGGUAUUGAUCCACCGCUACAUCUGCAUUGCUGAAGUCUAAAAUCUUCCCUGCCAAUAACAGUCUUUAAGGUUAACACAGAGAAUCCAAACUAUAUGAUUGCUUUUUUUGCCCCUCUGUGCAUAUUAUACAUAUUGAUACACAAACUGUACCUGAUCGUUUUGUGAAAGUAUCCCAUAUGCUUUGCCCCCUAUUUCCUUCUUUUACAGCUCCUUCGAACUGAGGUGUCGAACUCUUCAGAGCAAGACGUAAGGAUGAACGUGAAAGAAAAGACGAAACAUUUGUGCAUGGCCUCGCACCUGGAAAGAUGAAGAAGCUGUUCCGAAGACGAAACCACUGGGGAAGUCAGCCCUACUAAUAGCAUCACUGGUUGCAAUGAAGCAGAAGAUGAAACAGAGUGUUGCCGACGCUGCCAUCGGUAACUCCCAAUGCCAGAGAGGCUUGUGUUUGUUAAAAGCAGAGGAGUGCUGGGUGCAAUUUCGGUGGAGUGCUUCAGAAUUCAUGCGUUGUUGCCGAAGCUUCAAGGAGAUCGAAUGGACCAAUGUGAUUUGCUGGGAUCGGAUAUGAAGAGAAGGACAUUUCGUUUAAUUAACAUACAUUAUAAAUAUAAUUAAAUUUUAAUUAUAGUUAUCAGUCAAUAAAAAGAAGUCUAAUUAUAUUCCUUACAAGUGUCUCUCCCAUCAAAUAAAUUUUACUAUUAUUAGAUUUUUUUACUUAUCGAUAAUCAAAUUCAGUCAUAUUUAUAAUAUAUUUUAUCUAAUUUGGUAAGAUCACAUAAACUAAUAUUUUUACAGUUGCUCAUUAAUUUACAAGAUAUAAAUGAAAUAAAAUUAAAAUUAAUAAAAAAUUAUUUUAAAAUUAUUUUAUUUAAUUAAAUUUUAAUUUUUUUAAUUUUUUUUUACAUGUGCACAUAAAUUUUAUAAAACUAUCAAUAAGUUUAAAUAAAUAUUAUAUCAUAUUAAGUCUAACUAUUAAUUUAAGUCAUAGCGAUCGUUAUCAAUGUCAUGUUUUCUUUUAUAUAUCAUAAUAUUAUUAGUCCUUUUUAAUGUAGUUUAAAAUAAUUUUUAAAUUUUAUCUUAUGUUAUCAUAUUCAACUAUAGUAUAUAGAAUAGGAAUAAAAUAAUAUAAACAAAUAACUUUAAAUAUAUAAAAAUAAAAAUAUUAAUUAUAAUAUUAAUUGAAUAUAUAAUAUUAUAUCUUUUAUGGGUUGUUCAUAAAUUCAAUCAUAAGAACAUAUAUUUUUAAAAAAAUUAGGUUUUAAGUGAAUAGAUCAACAAUCAAUAUAAUGGAAUUUAAGUUCUUAAUUGACAUUAAUUAUUUUUAGAUUUUCUCUAAUCAUCAAAUAUUUUAUACCAUAAUGUACAGAACUAAUAGAGUAUUUAUCAUUCUUAGAGAAGAAAAAUAUUACGGUAUGUCACAAAGUAUCUUCAGCGUUGAUAAUUAAGUCUGAGAUCAUAUCAAAUAUUGAUAUAAAAUUUUAUGGUUAUAAAGCUAGAUUAGUAACUUCAAAGCAUGUCAUAAAAUGUAUUUCUAUAGUUGAUAAUAAAAUAAUAUAUUAUUAUUUUUCUUUUAAUUAUAGAAUUAGUGUCUAAAAAAGUAUUGUUUUAAGUUGAUUAAAUUUCAUAUAUGUGAACAUAUAACCUUUUAUCUUUUUUUAUUUCAAAAAUCUUAUUAUUUUUUUAUAGUCUUUUAGUGUUUAAUUUCUGGAUAACUCUAAUAUAUACUUAGUAUUCCGACUAUAAAAUUGAUAUCUAAUCUGACUUGAGUAUAUAAUAGACUUCUAAUUGCGCAUAUAUAAUAAAUAUUUUUUUAUUUAAAUUUUUAAAAUUAUUUUAAAAAUUUUGUUUUGUCUAAAAUUUUUUACUUUUGUUAUUUGCUGAAGAAGCUAUAUAUUUAAUCUCUAUAAGACUCAGUCAAUAUAUCAUUUCUAAGAUAGUCUUAACAAUCUUUAAGAUUAUUUCUGAAUAUCUCAAUGUCAAUAACAUAAAUUAUUUUAUUUAUAUUAACUAUCUUAGAAUUUUUGGAGAAAAUUUUCUUGAUUUACUAUAAUAAACUAAGACCAUAGUAAGUAAAUUAUUAUCUAUAAAUAAGAUCAAUAUAAUAAACUAGUUUUCAAUGAUAUUCAUAUAUAAAUAUUGAUCAACAAUAUUUUUCCUUAAAUAUAAAGAAAACAAUAAUGUUAAGAAACUUUAUAUAUUAUUAUUUAGAAGUUUAUUCAAAAUCAUAAAUAAAUUUCUUAAAUCUUCAUACCAAAUUUUAUAUUUUUUUUAUUUUUUUUACGAAUCAUUUAGGUUAAUCCAUAUAAAUCUAAAUCCCUAUUCAAAAAAUUUAUUUUCACAUUCAUGUUAAAAAUAUCUCAUUAUGACCAUUAUAUUAUUUAAUACUUAUCAUUUGAAUCAUAUUUAUAUAACAGGUUGGGUAUUGGAUAAUGCGAUGAGUUCUGGAAUAUCUUUUUGAUUCAUUUAUUGGAACUCUUUCAUAAAUUAAAAGCAUCAAAGUCUUCUAAGACACGUGAUAAACUUGGAGAUGCUUGUGCGUGUUUCUUUCUUCUCCUUUCGGAUUUCCAAUCCUUCACGUAGCAAUCUAAGUUUGCGUUGCUUCAUCAAACAGCCAAACCAAUUGUUAUUGUCUGCACCCUUUCGAUUUAGGACUAAACUAACUGUAACAUGUGACAAAGAUAUAUAUAUAUAUAUAUAUAUAUAUAUAUAUAUAUAUAUAUAUAUAUAUAUAUAUAUAUAUAUAUAUAACACAUAUUUCUACUAUUAAUAUUCAUCGAAAAACUCUAGAUUAACCAUAGCUAAUUAUACCUAAUAUUAACUAGUUAAGUUUAAAGGAUAUUAAUAUUAUUCAGGGUUUUAACUAACUGUUAAAUGAAAGAUAUAAUCAAAAUAGUUUAUUGGAAAAUUUUAGAUUUAUAAGGUUAUAUAUGCUAAAUUCGUAUAUAUAUUGGCACAAUAAUGAGAAUUACUUAAUGUUGAGGGUGUGUGUGUGCAUAUAUAUAUAUAUAUAUAUAUAUAUAUAUAUAUAUAUAUAUAUAAUCAAUAAAAAAAAGGGGGUAAAGAGGGACAUCCACUCACCCCUUCUGCGCUUUAUCCGAAACUCCUAAGCGCAGAAGAGAGCGCUCGAAGAUGGCGACGAUGGUGGCGCUACAGAGCUCGAUGGCUUCCCUUUCCAUCUCCUCCAAUUCCUUCUUGGGCCAGCGCCUCUCUCCCCCACUCCUAACGACGCCCGUUAGCUCUCUGCCCCUCUGCCCUUACUUUCUGAAAUGUUUGGUUUUUGAACUCAUUUGAUGUGUUAUUGUGCCUUAAUCCGACUUCCUGAGAGGAAAAUGCGGAGAAGAUGACUUUUAGAUGGCAUUUUACUUCAUAAAUUUGAUUGUCGACCGUAGAAAGAACUUUCUUUUGUUUAUUCUUUGAUUUCGUUUCUGAAUUCUCUCAACAGGGUAAAUUGGAACCAAUGGACUUCGAUUUUAGGGGUAGGAAAAGACAAAGAGUUAGAAUUCCUCUGACGUUUCCGUUUUCUAAUUCUAGGAAUUGAGGUUUCUCAGAGAACUAAAGCAACCGGUUCCUUUUCCAGAACAAGGAUUUUAAGCGAUUAGUGGUUGAUGCUAUUUAGUAGCCAUUUGAAUGCUCUUUUGUGUUUGCAUUUUGAUGGUCUUACUAAUGAACUCUAUAGCGUAUAUAGAAAACGAUCUUUUUUGCUAGUUUGUGUUGAAAUUAUACUAUUUGGAUUUUGAGAGGAACAAAAAACUGUGUUUUCUCAAAAAUGUUGCAUAAGGGGAUCAAGAAGAACAAGCGUGUGGAAUUAGAAACUCUGAUUUAGUUGCACAAUGUAUAUUUUGGCAUCAAGAAUUUGACAAGUGAUUGCAAAUUGCAAUUUUCUUUAUAUUUUAUAUAUCCUUGCUUCUCAUAUGAUGUCUAAUAGCCUCUACGAGUAAGAGAGGCAUGGAUGCCUAUACGUAGCACCUUUCUGUGAAACUUGUGUCAUUUGAAUCAUCCAGCUUAAAACUAAUUGCUUACCUGCACUAAGCCUUAAGUCAUAUGCAAGUAAACCAUGUUGAGACGAUUGGCUCAUCCUUAUAGCCACUUGCAGUUUGUUCAACUUGGCUUAAACCGAAUUCUUUGAUCUAGGCCGGAAACUAACACAUAUGCAGAGGGGAUAUGUAAGGCUUGGGACUUAUGCAAUUUUUCCAUGUUAUGAUUAAACAUUAUCCUAUUUGGAAUAUCAAGAAAGGUAAAACAUCACCAAAUCAUAUAGCAUGUGCUAUGAAGAAUUUGAUGAUGAUUUUUAUAAUCAAUUGACCCUAUUCUUUGUAUGUUACCAUUUUCAAGCAUAUUCCUUAAAAUUGAUAAUGAUGUUUGGUUACCUAUUUAUUAUUUCACAAAAUACUCUUAAGCUAAGCUAUGUAUCUUAAUAAAUGUAAAAUGAAAGAAGAAAAACCUUAAAAUUUAUCAUCAAACAUCAACUAUGAAUGUCCACAAAUACAAAUUUGGCUCAUAAUAUUUUUUAGAGACAAUACUGUUGUGAUCAGUAAGUACUACUCGAAACAAAUUGUCUUCAGAGAAAUGGAUGGUUCAGGCAUAAGAAGGUAUAUUGAUAUGUAUUUUCUGAAGUCGGUAGAUAACAAACAUACAAUAGGACCACUGUGAAUUAUAUCAGCAACUAUGAAAUGUUACUUUGCAUGAUGUUCUGAUUGUUGAGCUGCUGUGCCGGAUAAAUUUUAUGACUAAGCUGAAUUAAGUAAUAUCUGAGAUGUCCAAGUCCUCAAAUACUUUUAGAAUAUCUGGGCCCUGUAUGUGAUGCUAAUUUUGAUUUUUUCACAUCUCUGUAGUGCAUGGUUUCCCCAUUAUUGAUCUUUUGUAAUUAACAUAAGUGUGUUGCAUUUUCUUGUUGCAGGUUAAAUCGGUGGACCAGCCAUGCACUAUAGUAAUGAGGGUUAGUUCAUCAGUUCUUCUGCAUGUUCUAUAUUGAAGAUGAUCGUGCUAAACUAUUUCCUUUAUGAGCUAUCGGAAAUUAGAUUACCAAUGAGCACCGAACUAGGUGAAUUAUUCUGUGGAUGAUCUUAUCGCUUUCUUUAUAUUUUUCAUCUUCUAUUGCAGCUUAAACGCUGGGAGCGCAAGGAAUGUAAACCAAAUAGUCUUCCCAUACUGCAUAAAAUGCAUGUUAAGGUAGGGGACACAGUCAAACUUAUCACAGGCCAUGAGAACGGUAAAAUUGGGGAAAUUACUCGCAUUUUCAGGCAUAACAGCACUGUGAUUGUAAAAGGCUUGAACCUGAAAACAAAGCACAUGAAGAGCAGAGAACAAGGUGAACCUGGGCAGAUUGUCAAGGUAUGCUCUCUAUUUUCUGAACUUCCAUUCAUGUUUAUGAAUGAGCAAAUGGCAGGAUCAGGCUUUCCUCUCUUGAACUUUACUCCUUCCAUUGCUUUCUCAUGUGUUGAGCCUGAGUUAUCCUGCACAACGAACUGUUUCUGAACAGAUUGAAGCACCUAUCCACAGCUCAAAUGUGAUGCUUUACUCUAAAGAAAAAGAAGUGGCGAGCAGAGUGGGUCACAAAAUCCUCGAGGACGGAACCAGAGUCCGCUACCUCAUCAAAACUGGCGAAAUAAUCGACAGCACAGAGAACUGGAAAAAGGUUGUGAAAGAAAGAAAGGAAAAGAAAGAAGAGGCAUCCAGUUAGCAUCAAGGCAUCAAGUUGCUUCAUGUAUGACAUUUUAAAUCCCUUCUCUAGAAGUUUGUUGUUGCAUUCCAUUUGUAAUCAAGAGCAGUUAUGCUCCUGGAAUGUUUUCUACUCUGUCAUGGAAACUUCUUUUUUUCACUGAAAUCAUUCAUUUUUGUACUUGUUAUGUCUAUGAAUUUGGAAUCACUACCUUUACUCUAAUAUGGUCUCUUUGCAUGCUGUUAUCAUGUUCUGAAGUAGUGAAUUUGUGUUUUUUUUGUGACAUUUAUGUUUUUAUGAUAUUUGAUUCAUUCUAAGAUCUCUUAUCUGUAUCAAGAAAUUUGUGUUUGGUUUGAGAAACAAUGGCUUCUCCUCCCAACAUCUCAUGUUUAAAUAAGAGGAGAGAUUCCUCUCAUAACUUCCAAAUCCAUCACUCAACCUCUCAUAAGUUGACACAUGAAUGCAAAACAGCUAAUCAAGUAGUAUGAGGACCACUUAAAAAAGGACAAUAGGAGCAACAAAGGACAUCAUCAUCAUCAUCAUCAUCAUCAUCAUCACUUUUCAACCCCUUUUUGCAUCUUCUUCUUUGCGAGCAUUCUGUGUAGUGCUUGUUUAAUAAGAGGCUCAUUCUCUCUAUCAUUGAGGCCAAAACCUAACUAAAAUUAGCACCAUUGUCAGAUCUAAUUCCCAAGAAACUUCACAUGUAUGCAGUACUUUUGAGCUCCAUCUGCCUAUAUAUAUGCACAACAAAAACCUAUACUUUUGCACCCAUUAUUACACCUCCCUGUGGGCCCAACAUGUGAAGUGAGUGAAGGUGUGAUUUUUGUGGUCAAAAGGUGUCUCCAGCCAGUACUGCUCCUUUUUCUUUUUCCCCUUUUAUUUAUAUUCCUUUACUCUGUAGUUCUCUAUCUCUCUUGGCUUUCAGCUUCACGUGAACGCGUGCAGCGGUGGCCCGACACAAGCAACAACAAAAUAAAGAGAGAGAGGCCAACUGCCUCUGUUUUGGUCACUGCUCCUCUCUCUCUCUCUCUCUUCUUCUUCUUCUUGUGUANNNNNNNNNNNNNNNNNNNNNNNNNNNNNNNNNNNNNNNNNNNNNNNNNNNNNNNNNNNNNNNNNNNNNNNNNNNNNNNNNNNNNNNNNNNNNNNNNNNNNNNNNNNNNNNNNNNNNNNNNNNNNNNNNNNNNNNNNNNNNNNNNNNNNNNNNNNNNNNNNNNNNNNNNNNNNNNNNNNNNNNNNNNNNNNNNNNNNNNNNNNNNNNNNNNNNNNNNNNNNNNNNNNNNNNNNNNNNNNNNNNNNNNNNNNNNNNNNNNNNNNNNNNNNNNNNNNNNNNNNNNNNNNNNNNNNNNNNNNNNNNNNNNNNNNNNNNNNNNNNNNNNNNNNNNNNNNNNNNNNNNNNNNNNNNNNNNNNNNNNNNNNNNNNNNNNNNNNNNNNNNNNNNNNNNNNNNNNNNNNNNNUCCUCUCUCUCUCUCUCUCUUCUUCUUCUUCUUGUGAUUUCCAUGGUCUGAAACCUCUGAAGGAGAUAAGAGAGGAGGAUGUGUUACGUAGGGAAAGCGACCAAGAUCUUCUUCUUCCUCGUAGGGGCGCUCAUGGUGGUGGGCCUCGUCGUCGGCUUCGGCCUCGUCCGGCACGGCUGGGCACACAAGGCCGCCGCCCAGCCUUGCCAGUCAUCGUCGUUGACCGUCGCCGGAUGCCGGCCCAUCUUCCCCGACCCCAUUCCCGCCGACACCGCCACCGCCUCCACGGCCCCACCCUUCCCCGCGGCCGCCAUUCCCGCGGGCACGAUCCCCGUGCCGCCUCCGCCGCCCGCUGCCACCGACGUUCCCACGCCGCCCACCACGCCGCCACCGACCGUAAUCCUGCCGCCUGCGCCGCCCACAGCCACCGCCACCGACGUUCCCCCGCCGGCCAGUUCCACGGCCGCGCCGCCGCUUGUCAGCUUCGGCCCACCAAGUCCGGUUUACCAAGCGCUCGGCCCGGCCCAUGCAUAGAGGACAAAUAGACCGCUGAACCACCUUAGACUUACCUUUCAUUACUUGGUUUCUUUUUUCUUAUUUUAAUAGUAAUUUUCUUUCAAUUUCUUUUGUUUUUUUGGGGGGGGAAGGAACUCAUGAAGGCUAUUAGGUAAUCUUCUUUUCCUUGUUCUUAACAUUUGGAACUCGAGAUUAAUUUGGGAUGAUUGGAAUAAAUUCAUGUGGGGGAAUUAUUCACAAUAUUGAUCAUCUCUUCUCGCUCUUUCUUCCUAUCCUUAACUAUUUGAUUUAGGCUCAAGAAAAGGAUUAAAAGGCUAAGUUUUUAUGCUCACUGUUAAUUAAUGAAACAUAAUGCACUACAAUUAUCAUUCUUUUUUCUUAAUUCUUUAUUUUCAUCACCACCGGAUAAGAUUUCUCUUUUCGGAGUCACCAUCCAUGGAUGACAUCAGAGGCUUGGAGUCGUUGCCUGACAUGAAGUAAUGCUUGGAUCACACAGACCACAGAAAAAAGAGAUGUCACAAGAGUUCAUGCCUGCAAAGAAGAACACAAGUACACACCACUGCAGGAUGAGAGAGAGAGCUGUUGUUGGAAGUGGUCAUAUUUUGCCCAUUAAUAUCAUAUUCUGAAGAGAGAGAGAGAGAGAGAGAGAGAGAGAAAGAAGAACAUGAAGCUACAGCAAUGUCCUCUUUCUUUCUCCUUGUAUCUGAGAAGUGGAGUGGCUGUAGCCUUUGUCUGCAUGUUCUUCCCUGACACUCAUGUGUGGUUGCUGCUCCUAUUUGGAAUCUUUAUCUGCUCCCUGUCAGUAGACAACACAAGAUGCCAAUUUCUAAUGCCACUACUGUUCUUUAAUAGUAAGCACUCCACUGUUAUCAUACAAAUGAGCUGAUCCCAAUCCCUCAGAAUUUGAUGAGCAAUACUGUUUCCUUUAGACUGAUUUGGAUAUCCUUGGAUGAAAUUUUAGAUUAGGUUUGAGUAAAAAUAAGUACUUAAUUUACAACUCUAAGAAUUUUAAUUUUAACUAAACAUAAUAGAUAUAAUCGAUCGAUCGUUAUGAUCUAAAUCACUAAAAACACAAAUGUAUUAAAAAGAUAUAUAAUUUAUUUCUAUUAAAACAUCUGAGUUGGUUAGUGUAUUAUUGUAUAAGUGAUACGUCGUCCACUUAUAAAUAAACGUUAUAUAUGUUAUUUGAUAUAAUAAAUUUAUUUUUAUUUUUAUAAUAAUAUAUAAUAUGUUCUCUUUGAACAUUAAAAUGAUUCUAAAAAUAAUGUCAUAUUAUUUUAUUCUUCAAUGAAACCAAAUCUAAAAUCACAGCUAUAUAUGAAAAAUAAAAUAUCAUGAUAGUAUAUUAAAAUUCACAAUCUUAUCUAUCAUCACAAGUCCACCCCAUUUAUUUAUCUCUAAUCUGUCUUGUUCUUAUUUUGUACUGAAUUGCUACCCACGGUGGCUGGAGACUGAGAUGGGAGUUCAUUUGGGCCCCACAGUGCGCUGCAAGUUGUCCGAUAACAAGGCUGGUGAGGUUCGAGGGACGUUGCGUUGGGAGUCUGUAAGGAAAGUAUUCCUCUGUUACUUCAUUAACGUUCGAGGCCGGUAAAAGGGCGGAAAGAGAAAGGCGAGAGGGAAACCCAUUGAUCUCCCGACGGCGAACCGUUCCCUGAAUCCGCCAACGAGCGCCGGCCGCGAGGGUUCCGACGAGUAUCGGUGAUGGGUUCGUCCGAAAGCCCUGCUUGGUUCUUGGAUGACUUGAUCGGCGACAUGCACGCCUCCGAGGGCGAUCUCGCGGGGGUCAACGGCGGCUUUUGCUGGGCUCCCCCGGGAUUCAAUAUUUCCUUCAGGUGAUUUCGAAUCCGAUACUUUGGGAUCUCGUUGCGGUUGUCGUCGAGAACUGUCUAACACUCUUCUUGGAUGAACUGGAGAGCUGGUGUCUCCUAAAGUUGCGGCUUUGUUUCUUCUUUCUUGAUCUGUUAAUGUUUGAUGCAUGUAGUUACUUUUGAUCUUCUAAGGUUAGUGUUUUAUUGAAUCAUAGUAUGAUAUUGAGAGUUGCUAUGAUCAUUGGUAGUAUUGUGGAUAUAUGUAGCGAGAAAACCUUACGGAGUGGAUUAGGGUGGGAAUAUUGUUUCGAUCGAUCACGUAGCAUGUGGAUGUUGGGUUUGUUGAUUUUGCCUAUUCAAUUGCAAUCUAUAUUUGGUAUCUACAUAAUAGAAGAGAGUGAUUUGUACGGUGAAUCUUCACUCUUCUACACUGAUCUAAGAGGGGGUUGAGCAAGAUGCAAGUUAGUGAGAAGACAUAUUGAUCAUCUUGUAAUUUGGUCAUAGAAAGAUGAAAACUUUGUUUAGGUGCUGUAUAACACUUAUUGCAUUUUAUGGGCCUUAAAUAGGAUAACUUGAAAAGUCGAAACUCGAUUGACUUUUUCCUGGAUGGUGGUGAGAUGUACUAUAUGCAUCACAGAGAGUAUUAUCUCUUCAUUGUGUAGAUUUAAUUUAUCAGAUGCUACCAAGUUAAGGUGUUUCGGAAACUCAUGGAAUAGGAAAUGUUCUAUGCAACACAUGGAAUAGGAAAUAUUUUAUUUGUAGUCGCAGAGGACUUUUUGAACGUGUCCCAUGCUGAUCUGGGUGAAGUUUUUGAUUAAAAUCUUUGCAUAACCUGCAGACAUUAACAGAGCUAGAAGAACAGAAGUGGUCCAUCCAUCGAGAAGAACAACCAAAUGCUAUUACUAGUCUAUAUGCUCAAAACAAGAAAUUUCCCACAACUUCCGAAAAGGACACAACAUAAUUAAGGAAGGAGUAAACCAUGCAUAUGCUGCAUGAAUUUAGAGAAAAGUUGGAUGUUUUAAGGUUUGUACUAUACUUUAAUAUUGGAAGUAGACAAAGAAACAAAUUGCAUAAAAAAAUUUCUUUUAUUGCCUCAUAACAAGUGAGGAAAAAGCUUUGAUUCUGCCAUGCAAACUGUGCCCACACCUUAGAGCUGACUAUGCCAUCUUACAUGACCACUCUGUCCAAUUCACACUUCAAGUUUCCAAUUCAGUUUCUUUGAUUUGUCAUCGAAUUGACUUGUGCCAAGAUAAGUUUGAUCUACUUUAUCUUGUGAUGAUUGCUAAAGCAAGCUCUUUAUAAUUAAUGCAUACAUUGCUUAGGAGCAAUCCAACAAAUCAUUUUAUCAUUAAAUAGCUGAGAUGACUCAUUUCAUCAAUUUAGUCCAAUCUAUCCCUUUCUAACCAAUAUGUGCUUUAUGACUGGAUCGUAUCAGUGGGGUAAAUUUCAAUAUAUGUAUGGUUAAUCUUUUCAGAAUCGUAUUGUUCAUUGAUAGUCCACAGGGUUCGUACUCUACAUCGUAUGAUAAUAACCACUCUAUCUGUUGACUAAUGAUCCAUUAAAAGAUUCCUAUUAAAAUUCAAAUGAGUAUCUGACUAAUAAAUCCCAUUGGAUAGUGCGGUGGCUCUGGUUCAUGAGAAUUAGGCAAAUUAUUCAUACAGAUACUGACAAUCAUAAAAGAUGACAUGAAAAUUCCAUAUUGGAGAGGAUCAUUUGGAUUUAGAUGGAUACUUAAAAUCAUAAAAGUAUGUUGGGGCAUACGUAAACACACUUAAGGACUUGUCUUAGAUUAAUCACCAUGGUUCAUAUUUUCUGUAAAUUUAGACUACUAGAUUUUAUGUGUUCCAUAAGGACCUUGGAGCUGAAGAUCCUUCAGGGCAUUGCAUUAUUUGGUCUUGGGUGUCAAUAUAGUGGAAAUGGUUUUGAGAAUCUUCAUAAUUCUUUCAGCAAAAAUCAGUACUUUGCAUCGUAGUCAUCGAUCACAUUCUUAUGGUUUGUAUGAAUCAUUUGGAAGCUGCUAUGGUUUUUAAUUUUUGUCAUUUUUCUAUGAUUUUAACUUAAGUAUUGUAUAUUAUGCAUUUUUAUUCUUUGGAUAUCUUCAGUGAUUCUUCUAUUCAAAUUCUUUUUUUUUUUCAAAGUUCUAACAAGCAUAUUUCUUCUGCCUGUUGCCAUGAUUGACAGCUCCUUUUCAGACUCCAAUGGCCUCACAGAACCAGUCACUGGAAAGCGGUCGAAAUUUGAUCUUAUAAGUGAAACUUAGGAUAUUAUUGUUACUUCAUAUGCAUUUUUGUUGAUCAGUUUUUGAGACCAGAAAGCUUUAUUGCAGUAAGAGGUCAGAAACCUGUAGUACACCCGCCAAAGCUUGUAGAGAAAAAAUGAGAAGGGACAGGUUGAAUGACAGGUGCGAUAUCUGAUUUAUUAUGUGUGAACCAGCAGUGAUGCUAAAUAUGGUACUUUUUCCUCAUGCAUCAAGAUGACCUCAAGGCUUUUAUUUUUGUUUUUGAUUUAAGAUUCCUGGAAUUGGGCUCUCUUCUUGAACCUGGAAAGUUAUCAAAAUUGGACAAAGCUGCUAUCCUAAGUGAUGCUGUUCGUGUGUUGACUCAACUGCGCAGUGAGACAGAAAAGCUUAAAGAGUCAAAUGAAAUUCUCCAAGAGAAGAUAAAUGAAUUAAAGGUGGCUUAGAUUUUCCUUUGGUAUUACUAUUGUUAGAUAUAUGUAGUUUGUGUCUUCAUCUCUCAUGACUGUGCUUGUAUUGUAUCAGAUUAAGAUCUAUGUGAUGUUGAGAUUAUUUAGAAGGCUAACAUAGAUGCAUUUGCUUCAAUUAAAUGCAAUAAUUUUGGGAAAAAAAAGUAGGUGUCUUUUUCAAGCAUUAUGGAACUUUGCUGUUCCAUUUUUUUUUCUUUUCUAGCAUGAGUUGUCGACCUGUUAUCUAAUUACAUUUUAUUGCUCUUCAGGCUGAGAAGAAUGAGCUUCGUGAUGAGAAGCAGAAGCUGAAGGCAGAGAAUGAGAGUCUGGAGCAGCAAAUAAAACUCAGAUCGAGCUAUGUUUCUCACCCACCACCUGUAAUAGCGACCCCCUUCACAGCAAAAGGUCAAGCUGCGGCACAGAAGCUAAUGAUACCCAUCAUCGGUUACCCUGGCUUCCCAAUGUGGCAAUUCAUGGCGCCUUCCGAUAUCGAUACAUCGCAGGAUGCUGAUAAAUAUCCACCUGCUGCCUAGGCUAAUGGCCGAUCAAGCCGACACUCUUUGGGCUCUAGGUUAUGCCAAGGAUUCUAGCUUGAUUUCGUUGUUAGUUCUAAAAACAUGAUUACUAUUCUCAAUGAUGUGUUGUUAACCAGUGAAUGUCUUUUCUUGGAUCAGCGCAAGUUAUAAGUGGCAGAUCUCCCUGUAAAUGCACAUAAAUAGGGGAUUAUUGACCCAUUUGCUACUUUGUUAAAUGUGAUGAGCUGCAUGCUCGUAUUAUUGUUGUGCUCACUAGUGAACUAAUUAUAUCUUGGUUCCUUAUGCUCCAAAAAUUUUCUGCUCAUAUAUGCUCUAACGAUCUUUUGAAGCUAUUGUCAUGAGUUCUUUCAGGUACUAUCGACAAAGAACAUAAAAGUCAAACAUAAAUAAACUUCUAAUGCCAAAUCAACAUAUGCUAAUAUGUAGAAUAACCACCUUAUCUUAUAUAUAUAUAUAUAUAUAGUAAUCUGGUGGUCGUUGUCGUCGUCAUCGUCACGGUGUUUUAAUCGCUUGGUACACCGGAUCCUGGUCCAACCGUCGGGCGAUCGGCGUCGGCCAGCAGCGGGUUGCCGGUCGGGUCUUGCGAGUCGCGGAGCCACACGCUGAGCAUCACUAGCCCUGUGCCGAGGAGGAGGACGAAGAGUAGGCCCAGGCAAGCGGCCGCGGAAGUGUCAGCCCUCCGCCCGUCGCCGAUCGGGUUGACCAUGGCGGGCGCAAGGGCAAGCACGAUGAGCAAGAGACCGUAGGAGGCGACCUUGGACGGGAGAUCAGCCAUGGCCGACGAGGUCUGAGAAGAAGCCACACACCGCACCAGGUGCGCCGAGGUCGAACCCGAUGAUGGGUGGGCGAGCCCGCGAAGGCCU